Molecule: ribosomal RNA, 660 nt
Filed under: uncultured Actinomycetes bacterium
Lineage: Bacteria; Bacillati; Actinomycetota; Actinomycetes
Description: SSU rRNA
Rfam family: Bacterial small subunit ribosomal RNA
Source: RNAcentral
CUUGUUGGUGGGGUGAUGGCCUACCAAGGCGACGACGGGUAGCCGGCCUGAGAGGGUGUCCGGCCACACUGGGACUGAGAUACGGCCCAGACUCCUACGGGAGGCAGCAGUGGGGAAUAUUGCACAAUGGGCGCAAGCCUGAUGCAGCGACGCCGCGUGAGGGAUGACGGCCUUCGGGUUGUAAACCUCUUUCAGUAUCGACGAAGCGCAAGUGACGGUAGGUACAGAAGAAGCACCGGCCAACUACGUGCCAGCAGCCGCGGUAAUACGUAGGGUGCGAGCGUUGUCCGGAAUUACUGGGCGUAAAGAGCUCGUAGGUGGUUUGUCGCGUUGUUCGUGAAAACUCACAGCUUAACUGUGGGCGUGCGGGCGAUACGGGCAGACUGGAGUACUGCAGGGGAGACUGGAAUUCCUGGUGUAGCGGUGGAAUGCGCAGAUAUCAGGAGGAACACCGGUGGCGAAGGCGGGUCUCUGGGCAGUAACUGACGCUGAGGAGCGAAAGCGUGGGGAGCGAACAGGAUUAGAUACCCUGGUAGUCCACGCCGUAAACGGUGGGUACUAGGUGUGGGUUUCCUUCCUUGGGAUCCGUGCCGUAGCUAACGCAUUAAGUACCCCGCCUGGGGAGUACGGCCGCAAGGCUAAAACUCAAAGGAAUUGACG